This 580-nucleotide long non-coding RNA is filed under the name Lathyrus oleraceus (garden pea). RNAcentral describes it as "Pisum sativum (pea) long non-coding RNA (PSAT_LNC020207)". Lineage: Eukaryota; Viridiplantae; Streptophyta; Magnoliopsida; Fabales; Fabaceae. The record is from RNAcentral.
UUUCUUGUUGAACACACAUUUCUAUUAUCCAAUUGUGGCCAAUGUUUCCAACCACACAACUUAUACCAAGUUUCUCAUGUCAUGCUACUUGUACCAAUCUAAUUGCAAUGUAUCACUAAAAAUUAGAAACAAGAAAAAGGAAACAUAGAGAGAAAGAGAAGAAACUUGUGGAAAAAAAGAAGAAAAAGGAACUUGAAGAACUUAGAGCUUGGGUUUUCUUCGUCAUUUCAUCUCAUCAUUUCUCAACAACUUCUUCAUCUCUUUAGCAAGGUGGAUUUUAGGUAGAAACUAUAUGAUUAUAGAAAUUAGGGUUUGUAGAAACAUAGGAUAUAAAUUGAUGAGUCUUGACAUGUUGUUAUAUUUUCUUUCAUUAUUCAUGUGAAAUUGUUAUGAUUGUUGUUAUUGAAUAUGAUUGAGCAUUGUUGUUGUUAGAGUGGUGGAUUUUAGUGUAUUAUACCAUGAAAAUCUUGUAUCUUAUGGAUGGUUGUUGUUAGAUGAACUUAGGGAUGGUUAGGAAUGGAUAAAAACAUAUUUUAGCCUAUGUUUUAAAAAUCAAAUCGAAUCGGCCGGUUUAAUCGGA